Molecule: long non-coding RNA, 3070 nt
Organism: Sceloporus undulatus (fence lizard)
Lineage: Eukaryota; Metazoa; Chordata; Lepidosauria; Squamata; Phrynosomatidae
Exons: 4
Source: RefSeq, a predicted model, not a curated record
UCACAGUAAAGCUUUGUGCCUGUGGGCAUGUACAGAAUGCUUUUUCUUUUCAGCUGGUACUUGCCACUGGUCUCUUGAAUUUGAGGGAGAGAUGGGACUUGUCAUUCCUGCUCAAAACAGUGGGAGAAUCCUCCAAACAUCUUCACUUUUGGGAGCACUGAUGUGAGGGAGUCACAGAAAUCAGAGAGAUGCCAAGUGGCGCUUGUUGCCCUCUUGGAUGGCUUUGGCCAGCUGGUGCAUCUUCUGCAAAGAGAAGGAAAGUUGCCAUUGAGGGCAGGACCAAUUAGUUGAGGGGGGGGGUGCAGCCAUGGAUGUUUGCAGGGCAAUAGGGUGGAGAGAACUUCCCUUUUGCCCCUAGCCAACUUGGCUGGUGAUUUCCUAGGCCACUCACUUGCGCCCUCCUGUUGCAUUGCAAGCAGGAGGCAGGGAAAGGCUGCCACCACUGCUGCUGUUCUGCUUGAAACCUGAAGGGGAUAAAUGCCCAUGGCUCCUCUCUCUCUAUGGGGUGCCCUCCUUGCCUGCUCUAUGAUGCCACCCCAGCCCUAAAUGAAAGAACCCCCCCUUUCCUCCUCCUCCAUCACUACCGGGAGGCAUCGCACCAAUGCAGGAUGUAACUCCUGGAGGCGGUUGCCUAGCAACUGUCUCUGGCCGAUGCAGAGGCGCUCAGCUGGCGAGGAAGGAUGGGGGGGCACGAGAGCCCCUGGUUCGCACCGAAGAAGCAUCAAGAGGCGAUGAAGAAGGAGCCGAUGAGGUGCUCACUGGAGACACCUAACAGGGCUGGGGCUAACGGUGCUCAGAGAGAGUCGUUGUCGAAGGGAGGAGGGUGCCAGUGACCAAAGCCAUGGGCAGCUGUGGGCAAGCAGAGUGCCAGAGCAGCACAUUGAGGAAGGCCGCCAGACAGCUCCCAGAGGACAGGAUCAGUCAGGACUGAGACAAGGGAAGGCUUCCUGAGCCAAUGUAUGGGAUGCCCAUGGGACUCUCCUCCCAUUCCUGAUGCAGUGCGUGCAAGUUGACCUGAAGUUGAGGGUGGAAAAGCUCAACGUGACGAUGGUGCCCGGCGUUGCAGGGGCAGGCGAAGGGCCCAGUCCUCCCAGGAUGCCAUCACUGCCACAGGAAUCCAAAGAGGAUCGAGAGGAGCGAGUCCUUGCCAUGCUGGGCAUCGUGGGCACCAUCCUUAACCUACUCGUCAUCAUCUUUGUCUACAUUUACACAACCAUUUAGGUCCCAGGUGUGGCCUGUUCUUCCACAGCAUCCUUUUGGGGUGGCUGAUGACAUCCAGAACCAGGAAUAAUGACGGCCAUGAAGGACUGGCAGCUGACCUUGUCUGGACAAGUGUGGAUUUGUGCCAGCGGUGCCCAGAAGGAUGCCUAUAUUCACCAACAUGGCUUUGCCAUUUUCAGGAACUUGCUGACCAAACUUGGUUUUGCAGCUGCCUGCUCCCACUACUGGGAUGGUGGCUGCUUGUUGGCAUUGGACAAUGCUGCCAGCUGUGUCUGAGUCUCUACAUGAAGUGCCAGGCUGCUGCACAUCCUUGGAUGCAUGGCAGCCGUUUCCACCAGGAGAGAGUCUCCAUCCUCUCCUUCCAAAUGCCAGUUGCUGGAGGAGCACUGUGUCUUGCCUGGGACACUCUGAAACAGACGUGGGGAGGGAAGGUUUGACUGCCUGGCAUUUCUACUCUCCCAAAGCCUGUCACUUGUAAAACAUCAACAAGCACAACGCAAAAUCCUUCUCUUCCCACCUCUGCCAAAGAGGCUGAAAUAGGGCAAUAGGGGGGGGAGCUUUGGGCAGGAGGCCAGGAGGUCUCCCUCUAGGGCUGAUGGAAUCUCCUUCCCAGCACUGCUGCCAUCCACAAACAUGACACCAGCCCCCCUUUCCCUUUGUGCAUUCCCCACCUGUACCCAUUGGGGCAGGUCUUUAAACUGCCAUCACCAAUGUUGAGGCUGGUGUCCUGUCUCAUGUCUCCUGAUCCUGGCCUCCUAUCAAACCAGCCCCACCUGGGACCCCCACCUAAGCUUCCCUUAGGAGUCUGCUGUAGCCUGAAAUACCCUUGAUACAUUUGGGGGAUGAAAUGAGCUUCCUUGUGCAUCCUAACCCCCCAGCCUUAAUCUGCAGCAUCCCCUCCAGGGAAUGCAAACUGGCUCUCUUAAAAGCAGCCCCUUUGGUUGCCACAUGGGGAGAGGGGAAAGGGCAGAGGGGGUAAGCCAGGUCUUUUAAUUCAAAGUGCUUUACCAAGUCCCAUAAAGCUUGGCCUUGGACAGUGCAGGGCAUCUGGAAUUCUCAGUGGAGAAUAGUCAGGCCUUUGACCAAAGGAGCAGGGCAGUACAAUGUUGCUCCCCAAGUGCUCCAUGUAGCUUUUGUGAGAAGAUGCCAGGUGUUGGGAAAGGAAGGGAGUGGGAUGGAAAAGGAUAGGAGGGAGAGAGGCAAAAUUUGGUUUGGGGAUUAGUUUUGGGAUCGGUUUCCUUGCCAAAUUUCGGCUACUUUUCUUGCAAUAUGGAACUGCAGGGAGAAGAGAAGAGAUCUGCAGUGAUCAAACGGGGCUGUAACACUCCUCCUCACCCCACGAGUUGGAAACUCAUGGGAGGGCUAAUGCUGGAAUGACCCCCAUCUUCUCCAAAAGUAUAAUCUGCAGGGACUUUUGUCUUGGGACUUACUCAGCUGCUAUUGCUUCCGUCUUCCCUGCAGGUCUGGCAGGAGGAGAACCAGCCCAGACUCUGGGAAGGCAACACAAAUCCAGGAUAACGUUUCCUCCUGUUUUUUUAAAAACAGUGACAAAUAAGCAAGCCACCCCAUUCCCACACCUUGUUCUUCCAAAGGGAGGGUUUUGCUACAACCAACUACGAAGACCGACGGGGUCGGGGAUGGGAGGGAGGGAACGCUUUGCCUUUGUGCCAGAGCAGUGCCAAAGGUGGCAACUCUCAUUUCCAGUGCUGUGCCAAGCCGGGGGUGGGAGCAGGGGAGAGAGAGAGCUGUGCUUUUCUAAGAACCGUGUUGUAAUUGUGAAAAUUUUAUAUGCAACCAAAUUUGAAAUAAUCACAACGAAAUAUUUAUGGAUGUCAAAGUGAAAGCAUUA